Molecule: ribosomal RNA, 464 nt
Filed under: uncultured bacterium
Lineage: Bacteria
Description: partial 16S ribosomal RNA
Rfam family: Bacterial small subunit ribosomal RNA
Source: RNAcentral
CCUACGGGAGGCAGCAGUAGGGAAUUUUCGUCAAUGGGCGCAAGCCUGAACGAGCAAUGCCGCGUGAACGAGGAAGGUCUUCGGAUCGUAAAGUUCUGUUGAAGGGGAAAAAGAGCGGAGAGAGGAAAUGCUUUCUGAUUGAUAUUACCCUUCGAGGAAGUCACGGCUAACUACGUGCCAGCAGCCGCGGUAAUACGUAGGUGGCGAGCGUUAUCCGGAAUGAUUGGGCGUAAAGGGUGCGUAGGCGGCCUGCUAAGUCUGGAGUGAAAGGUACCGGCUCAACCGGUACAGGCUCUGGAAACUGGCGGGCUAGAGAGCAGGAGAGGGCGGUGGAACUCCAUGUGUAGCGGUGAAAUGCGUAGAGAUCGGGAGGAACACCAGUGGCGAAGGCGGCCUACUGGGCUUUAACUGACGCUGAGGCACGAAAGCGUGGGUAGCAAACAGGAUUAGAUACCCCUGUAGUC